Molecule: non-coding RNA, 146 nt
Organism: Gossypium hirsutum (cotton)
Lineage: Eukaryota; Viridiplantae; Streptophyta; Magnoliopsida; Malvales; Malvaceae
Source: Rfam
UGUUAAAAAUUUUCAUUCAUUUCUACUGUUAAAAACUGGAGUUCUUGACAAAAUAACUAAACAGUUACAUGUGACGUGCCACAUCUACCUUAUGCUGACAUACAUGGAACAAUUUUUAACCGUAAAAAUAGAUGGAAUUGUUAACA